RNAcentral lists this long non-coding RNA (337 nucleotides) under Homo sapiens (human). RNAcentral's name for it is "HSALNT0082475". Lineage: Eukaryota; Metazoa; Chordata; Mammalia; Primates; Hominidae. The record is from RNAcentral.
UUCUAACAGGACGAAUAUGCUUAACUCGUAUGAAACUGGACUGCAGUCUGCUCUAAAGGUGUGCCUCCUUCUUUGGCGAAUUUAUAAGGAAGUCCCCACAGCCCUCAGGACAGAGACUGAACAAGGGAUGUGACUGCUGUGAAUACUCCCAGCCAAAGGCCAUCAGGACACCCGGAGUUGAACAAGGGGUUAGAAAUUGCCCUGAAGGAAGAGGUGGACAACUCUGCCAGACACUGGGAAGAUCAGUGCGGAACACACGGCCAGGAUCCAGCCAGUCAGAACUGACUCCCCCAUCAAUCACAUCUUUGCAGAAAAAUCUACACCAGAGCUUGCUAGA